UGAGGGAAUAUUGGUCAAUGGGCGAGAGCCUGAACCAGCCAAGUAGCGUGCAGGAUGACGGCCCUAUGGGUUGUAAACUGCUUUUAUGCGGGGAUAACGUGCACCACGUGUGGUGUAUUGCAGGUACCGCAUGAAUAAGGACCGGCUAAUUCCGUGCCAGCAGCCGCGGUAAUACGGAGGGUGCAAGCGUUAUCCGGAUUUAUUGGGUUUAAAGGGUGCGUAGGCUGUAAGUCAAGUCAGCGGUGAAAAGUCGGGGCUAAACCUUGAGGGUGCCGUUGAAACUGACAUACUAGAAUGUGGAUGAUGCCGGCGGAAUGUGUCAAGUAGCGGUGAAAUGCAUAGAUAUGACACAGAAGGCCGAUUGCGAAGGCAGCUGGCAAAGGCACGAUUGACGCUGAGGCACGAAAGUGCGG
This 413-nucleotide ribosomal RNA is filed under the name uncultured Prevotella sp. RNAcentral's name for it is "bacterial SSU rRNA". It matches the Rfam family "Bacterial small subunit ribosomal RNA", at positions 354 to 764 of the family's 1533-position model. Lineage: Bacteria; Pseudomonadati; Bacteroidota; Bacteroidia; Bacteroidales; Prevotellaceae. The record is from RNAcentral.